This 460-nucleotide ribosomal RNA is filed under the name uncultured bacterium. RNAcentral's name for it is "partial 16S ribosomal RNA". It matches the Rfam family "Bacterial small subunit ribosomal RNA", at positions 338 to 795 of the family's 1533-position model. The record is from RNAcentral.
CCUACGGGGGGCAGCAGUGAGGAAUAUUGGUCAAUGGACGAGAGUCUGAACCAGCCAAGUAGCGUGAAGGAUGACUGCCCUAUGGGUUGUAAACUUCUUUUAUAUGGGAAUAAAAUGUUCCACGUGUGGGAUUUUGUAUGUACCAUAUGAAUAAGGAUCGGCUAACUCCGUGCCAGCAGCCGCGGUAAUACGGAGGACCCGAGCGUUAUCCGGAUUUAUUGGGUUUAAAGGGAGCGUAGGUGGAUUGUUAAGUCAGUUGUGAAAGUUUGCGGCUCAACCGUAAAAUUGCAGUUGAAACUGGCAGUCUUGAGUACAGUACAGGUGGGCGGAAUUCGUGGUGUAGCGGUGAAAUGCUUAGAUAUCACGAAGAACUCCGAUUGCGAAGGCAGUUCACUGGACUGCAACUGACACUGAGGCUCGAAAGUGUGGGUAUCAAACAGGAUUAGAUACCCUAGUAGUC